UACGUAGGGUGCAAGCGUUGUUCGGAAUUACUGGGCGUAAAGCGCGCGUAGGCGGGUUUGAAAGUCGAUUGUGAAAGCCCUAGGCUUAACCUGGGAAUUGCAGUCGAAACUUCAAAUCUUGAAUGUCUGAGAGGAUGGCGGAAUUCCCGGUGUAGUAGUGAAAUACGUAGAUAUCGGGAAGAACACCUGAGGCGAAGGCGGCUAUCUGGCGGUACAUUGACGCUAAGGCGCGAAAGCGUGGGGAGCAAACAGG
RNAcentral lists this ribosomal RNA (253 nucleotides) under uncultured bacterium. RNAcentral describes it as "partial 16S ribosomal RNA". It matches the Rfam family "Bacterial small subunit ribosomal RNA", at positions 524 to 776 of the family's 1533-position model. The record is from RNAcentral.